This 66-nucleotide transfer RNA is filed under the name Hemiodoecus leai. RNAcentral's name for it is "tRNA-Val". Lineage: Eukaryota; Metazoa; Arthropoda; Insecta; Hemiptera; Peloridiidae. The record is from RNAcentral.
CAAAUUAAAGUUAUUUAAUAAUUUACUUUUUACAUGAGUAGGGAACUGGUUUAUCAGUUAAUUUGA